AGUGAGGAAUAUUGGACAAUGGAGGCAACUCUGAUCCAGCCAUGCCGCGUGCAGGAAGACUGCCCUAUGGGUUGUAAACUGCUUUUAUACAGGAAGAAACCGCUCUACGUGUAGAGCUCUGACGGUACUGUAAGAAUAAGGAUCGGCUAACUCCGUGCCAGCAGCCGCGGUAAUACGGAGGAUCCAAGCGUUAUCCGGAAUCAUUGGGUUUAAAGGGUCCGUAGGUGGAUAAUUAAGUCAGAGGUGAAAGUUUGCAGCUUAACUGUAAAAUUGCCUUUGAUACUGGUUAUCUUGAAUCAUUAUGAAGUGGUUAGAAUAUGUAGUGUAGCGGUGAAAUGCAUAGAUAUUACAUAGAAUACCAAUUGCGAAGGCAGAUCACUAAUAAUGUAUUGACACUGAUGGACGAAAGCGUAGGUAGCGAA
Molecule: ribosomal RNA, 422 nt
Filed under: uncultured Algibacter sp.
Lineage: Bacteria; Pseudomonadati; Bacteroidota; Flavobacteriia; Flavobacteriales; Flavobacteriaceae
Description: bacterial SSU rRNA
Rfam family: Bacterial small subunit ribosomal RNA
Source: RNAcentral